GAUCCUGGCUCAGGACGAACGCUGGCGGCGUGCUUAACACAUGCAAGUCGAACGAGAAUCUGUGGAACGAGGAUUCGUCCAAGUGAAGCAGAGGACAGUGGCGGACGGGUGAGUAACGCGUGAGGAACCUGCCUUUCAGAGGGGGACAACAGUUGGAAACGACUGCUAAUACCGCAUAACACAUGGGUGUCGCAUGGCACUGAUGUCAAAGAUUUAUCGCUGAAAGAUGG
RNAcentral lists this ribosomal RNA (230 nucleotides) under uncultured bacterium. Its description in RNAcentral is "partial 16S ribosomal RNA". It matches the Rfam family "Bacterial small subunit ribosomal RNA", at positions 15 to 228 of the family's 1533-position model. The record is from RNAcentral.